Molecule: long non-coding RNA, 1881 nt
Organism: Taeniopygia guttata (zebra finch)
Lineage: Eukaryota; Metazoa; Chordata; Aves; Passeriformes; Estrildidae
Source: Ensembl
GGAAGGUUUUUGGGGAAAUGAGGGACUGAAAAUAUCCCUAGGCUGGGAAGGUGUUUGGGAAAUGAGGGAUUGACAAUAUCCCUCAGGCUGGGAAUGUUUUUGGGGAAUGAGGGGUUGACAAUAUCCCUCAGGAUGGGAAGGUUUUGGGGAAAUGAGGGAUUGACAAUAUCCUUCAGGCUGGGAAGGGGAAAUAAGGGAUUGAGAAUAUCCCUCAGGAUGGGAAGGUUUUUGGGAAAUGAGGGGUUGACAAUAUCCCUAGGCUGGGAAGUUUUUGGGAAAUGAGGGAUUGACAAUAUCCCUCAGGCUGGGAAGGUUUUUGGGAAAUGAGGGGUUGACAAUAUCCCUAGGCUGGGAAGGUUUUUGGGAAAUUAAGGGUUGACAAUAUCCCUCAGGAUGGGAAGGUUUUUGGGGAAUGAGGGGUUGACAAUACCCCCAGCCCGACUGUCCCUGGGUGGGGAUGGGCGGCUGUGUCUCCCCCAGCCCCCCGCACCCACCCCAGGCCAUGAGGGUGAGAUGCAGAGAGGGAUUUUCUUCACUUCAAAUGGGUGUUCAGAGUGAGAUUUUCAUGCUGGUGCUGGCCCAGCUCCUCCUUCUCCAGGCAGGAACCCACCACAGAGCCGCAGGAGCAUCCCCAAACCCUCUCCUGGGACCAUGCUGGGAUGUCCCCAUGGGCUCCUGGCAUCUCCGAGGCUGGGAGGUGAAGCAGCCCCACCUUGGGCCAUGACUCCCCUCCUCCCCACGGCUCUUUCCAAGCAUUUGCAGGCAAAUCUGAUGCUGGAGAAGUGGGGAUCGUGGUGGCCCAGCUGCUGCUCCCUCCUCCUCCAUUCUCCCCCAUCCCCUUUGCUCCCCGUAGCUCAGUUAUGCAGGUAGGUGUUAGCAAACCUGGGGUGUCUGCAAAAACUUUUGUAAAAUAGAAUAAACCCUUGAAAUGAUGCACUAAAAGGAAAAAAAAAAAAAAUCAUAAAUGCCCCUUUCCCCUCAGCUUCUCUGUGUGAUGGUUCCUUGGAUGUCCCCGCUCAGCCCCACAGGCAGCUCUGCAUCCUCCCCCCAGGCUGCUGCACAGGUAGAAACAAACCAGGACGUGCACUUCCCCCGAGGAGUUUUAUUUAUUGUUUUGAGAAGCAAUUUAAAAGGGAAAAACAACAAAAAAAAAGAGAAACUGUAUCUAUAAUAUAUAUAUAUAUAUAUAUAUAUAUUUUUAACCUCUUUUUUUUUUUUCCUGAUGCUCCUCCACCCGUGUGUGUGGGUGUGUGUGUGUGUGCGAGUCAAGGGAUUUGGUGGCCAGGGCUGGCAGCUCGGGGCAGCCGUGGGGCAGCCGUGGGGCAGCUGUGGGGCAGCUGUGGGGCAGUUUUGGGGCAGUUUUGGGGCAGUUGUGGGGCAGCUGCCCCCGUCCCCAGCCGGAGCACAGGGACCAGGGCUCCCUCCCAUCCCAGCUCUCAGUGCCCAGCAGCAGCAGUGCGAGGGGAGGGAGGCUUUAUGUGGAGUUUGUAAUAUUUUAACCGGGAUUUUUGCCUAAUUCCAUCUUUCUCUGAAGUGUUUGCAACCCUCGGGCUCUGGCCUGACCGAGAACCUCCCGCGCCCUGGGGAUGUCACCCCCACUCCCUGUCCCCGUUCCCUCCCUACUUCGCUCCCUUGACAAUCAGUGGCUCCUUCCCAGGGACUGCAGCACGUGGUUGAGACGUCUAUUUCGUUUUUUCAAUAUUCCUUUUUUUGUGCUGUAUGGUGAUGCGUUAUUGUAUAUUCCACAAUAAGACAAAAAAAAAUAUAUAAAAAAAAUGAUAAUAAUAAUAAUUACCAUGAGAAAUUCUUAUGAGUUUUGUUUGGAAACUCUUUCACUAUAUUUGUUGUAAAGAGGUUUACUAUUAAAAAGAAAAAAAAAAA